GUGCAGACCCCAUCACUGGCUCUGUGUGAUGUGGCAGAAGCGAAGGGAGACAGGUUUGCUAAAGUAAUUGUGGUGAUAGAAAUGUCUGAGCCUCAGAGGCUGCUGAGGGAGCCCAUUCUAUCCCAGGACGGAG
Small nucleolar RNA from Oryctolagus cuniculus (rabbit), 133 nucleotides. The record is from Ensembl. NCBI's taxonomy places the organism in Eukaryota, Metazoa, Chordata, Mammalia, Lagomorpha, Leporidae.